Molecule: ribosomal RNA, 505 nt
Filed under: uncultured Lachnospiraceae bacterium
Lineage: Bacteria; Bacillati; Bacillota; Clostridia; Lachnospirales; Lachnospiraceae
Description: bacterial SSU rRNA
Rfam family: Bacterial small subunit ribosomal RNA
Source: RNAcentral
AGAGUUUGAGUCCUGGCUCAGGAUGAACGCUGGCGGCGUGCUUAACACAUGCAAGUCGAACGGAGAUUAUACGCAGAGGCGAUUUCGGUCAAAUCAUGUAAAAUCUUAGUGGCGGACGGGUGAGUAACGCGUGGGUAACCUGCCUUACACUGGGGGAUAACACUUAGAAAUAGGUGCUAAUACCGCAUAAGCGCACGAAGCCGCAUGGAUUUGUGUGAAAAACUCCGGUGGUGUAAGAUGGACCCGCGUCUGAUUAGCUUGUUGGCGGGGUAACGGCCCACCAAGGCGACGAUCAGUAGCCGGCCUGAGAGGGUGGACGGCCACAUUGGGACUGAGACACGGCCCAAACUCCUACGGGAGGCAGCAGUGGGGGAUAUUGGACAAUGGGGGGAACCCUGAUCCAGCGACGCCGCGUGAGUGAAGAAGUAUUUCGGUAUGUAAAGCUCUGUUAGCAGGGAAGAAAGAAAUGACGGUACCUGACCAAGAAGCCCCGGCUAACUACGUG